CCCGGGAGGGCGGAGUUAACCCAACCUCUGCUGGUGCCCGGAGUGGACGACGCGUAGCAAUGUGUUGAGUCCGGACCAGUUCGACCCUGUCCUCAGGGUUAAAGUGUUGAUUUUAAAAUUAGUUUUUAAAUAAUCUUUUACUGUCGCGUAUCGGUUUUGUUCUGCGACGUCGACCAUGAUGCGCUUCCUGCUGCUCUUCAGUCGCCAGGGGAAACUGCGUCUGCAGAAGUGGUUCACACCCAUUUCAGAGCGAGAGAAGAGGAAGAUCAUCAGGGACAUGACCACCAUGGUGUUGGCACGGCAACCCCGCUCCUGUAACUUCCUACACUGGAAAGACCUCAAAAUCAUUUACAAGAGGUAUGCAAGCUUGUAUUUCUGCUUGGCCAUAGACAAUGAUGAGAAUGAGCUCCUAGCCCUGGAGGUUAUUCAUCGUUAUGUGGAGCUGCUGGACAAGUACUUUGGCAAUGUGUGUGAGCUGGACAUAAUCUUUAACUUUGAGAAGGCCUAUUUUAUCCUGGAUGAGUUCCUUAUUGGCGGUGAGAUACAAGAAACCUCCAAACAGAUUGUGAAUCGCUGUAUCGAAGCCUCGGACAUGCUACAGGAGGAUGACAGCAGUGAGUGGUAUGAGGUGGAGCUGUUUGGAUCACCUUGAAUAUGGACAGAAAGGUUAGAUGUGCUUGUGUUAGUCAUCUAUCGUUUGUUGGUGUGCUCAGCACUUUAUGACAGACCAUGGAGGAGUAUAUGAGCAAACCUGCAUUUUAAAUCAUGGAAAAGGGACAUAAAUGGGGGAUGAAUACAGGAACCAAGUGUACUGUGCACGAGUCCAAGACGUUUCUGAAUGUGGAAAACGGGAUUAGCUUUGAUUCUACUGCACAUUUUCAAAGGGAAAAGUUGCCGUCUUGAAUGUCUGCUCCUGCUCUAAGCACCGCGGCAAUAUAACCUGAUUUGAGAGUAAGUGUGUUUGUUCAUAGUUAUGCAUUCAAGUGAAGGAAGGGGUUGGGGAGUAAUGCUUUUAUAUUGAUUAUCAUAAAAAAGUGAAUGAAGUAGUAAUACAGGUCCAGGGAUAUUGGAUAUCUUUGUUCCAAAAACACCAUGUGGACUGUUUGCAUGAAAAUGAUGCAGAAUUUCUGUGAAGUUAUAAAUAAAUAAUUUUACAUUAGCAAAUAACAAAUUAUGAAUGAAAGUAAUUAUGGUAUGUUUCAUAAUGUUUUUACUCUGUAUAAAAUAUUAUUAUUGUGUGGGAUCAUUGGUGUUGAAAAGGAGCCGUUGCUCGUGUGGGUGUGAACAUCACUGUUUUUCAUGAUGUGAAAUGUAUGAUAUUGAAGCUUAUGUUUAAAAUAUGUAUUUUGAUAAAACAGUCUGCUUUGAUUAA
Molecule: RNA transcript, 1372 nt
Organism: Hippoglossus stenolepis (Pacific halibut)
Lineage: Eukaryota; Metazoa; Chordata; Actinopteri; Pleuronectiformes; Pleuronectidae
Gene: ap1s3b
Gene name: adaptor related protein complex 1 subunit sigma 3b
Exons: 6
Source: RefSeq, a predicted model, not a curated record